GCUAGGAGAGCAGGAAGAUCUUGAUAUGAAGCAUAGAAUAGAAAGUGGAGAAACCAGGAAAGAGGGAGAGUCUGGAGGGGUUCCCAGAUCCAUGGGAACAUGGGUCCUUUGUGGAAGAUCUCUGCAAUUUGGGUGAGCAGGUAAAAGAGCAGUCAGGGUCUCCUGGUUCAGAUACACAGUGAACGGCGACCGUUCUCUAGAAGGCCUGAGCUCCUGUGGCUGCUUCUCCAUUUACUGCUGAGGACCUGAGGCCAGAUCCAGCAGCGUCAACCAGUCAAGACUACGCCCAUGGCUGCCUCGGAGGUUCCUCCCCCACUGAUCCCUUCUCAAGUUUAACCUCUAAUUACUUGACGAGGCUGCUGACUGAACAGCCAGCAGGAAGCAGCCAGGAGACUGUCACCACGCAGCCACGCCAGGCCCGCCGGCCUCCCCACCCACGCAGCAAUUGCGAAACGCUGCUGCAACCACCUGAGGCUAUAAAUAGUCUUUAUUAAGAAGCCACGCUGGGGACUGAGCAGGCCUGAUGGGUGGCCCCUAUUUGCUGCCCCUUCAAACAAGUGGAGAAAAAAAUUUUAAGUGUCACUUACAAGAAUCCAAACCUGGGGCCAAGCCUUCUAAGUCUACUUCGGAGUUCUGUCUGCCCACUCCCCUGGACCCCGCCCCAGGUGCCAACUACAUUUUAGAGUCUCUAAGGCUUUCUGCUUAUUGUUGGCCAAUAUGCAACUUCAUCUUGCUGAUGCAAUGAUCGUAAUGAAGAUAAUGAUAACGAAGUAGUUUUUUUAGUAGAUUUUCCUUUCCCCCCAACCAUUCCUAUGGCCCCCAUACUUGUCUCUAAUCUCGUGUGCAGAGACCUCUGUAGUGUUUUCCAUACCAGUUCAUGCCCUCUGUCCCUCCAGUCUACAAGCUCUUUUCUCCUACACACUCCCUUUCUUUCAUGGUCUUUCCCUGUUCAGAAUUUUUCAGUGACUUCUUCUUGUAUGGAACAGUAGCCUAGAAUGUUUUAAAUGCAUACCUUCGUUCUUAAUGUAUAUACCAAUUUACUACUCUA
Molecule: long non-coding RNA, 1048 nt
Organism: Bubalus bubalis (water buffalo)
Lineage: Eukaryota; Metazoa; Chordata; Mammalia; Artiodactyla; Bovidae
Exons: 3
Source: RefSeq, a predicted model, not a curated record